CAGUACCGUGAGGGAAAGGCGAAAAGAACCCCUGUGAGGGGAGUGAAAUAGAACCUGAAACCGUGUACGUACAAGCAGUGGGAGCCCUUCGGGGUGACUGCGUACCUUUUGUAUAAUGGGUCAGCGACUUACAUUUUGUAGCGAGGUUAACCGUAUAGGGGAGCCGUAGGGAAACCGAGUCUUAACUGGGCGUCUAGUUGCAAGGUGUAGACCCGAAACCGGGUGAUCUAGCCAUGGGCAGGUUGAAGGUUGAGUAACAUCAACUGGAGGACCGAACCCACUAACGUUGCAAAGUUAGGGGAUGACCUGUGGCUGGGGGUGAAAGGCCAAUCAAACUCGGAGAUAGCUGGUUCUCCCCGAAAGCUAUUUAGGUAGCGCCUCGGACGAAUACUACUGGGGGUAGAGCACUGUUUGGGCUAGGGGGUCAUCCCGACUUACCAACCCCAUGCAAACUCCGAAUACCAGUAAGUAAUAUCCGGGAGACACACGGCGGGUGCUAACGUCCGUCGUGAAGAGGGAAACAACCCAGACCGCCGGCUAAGGUCCCAAAGUUCUGGUUAAGUGGGAAACGAUGUGGGAAGGCUCAGACAGCUAGGAUGUUGGCUUAGAAGCAGCCAUCAUUUAAAGAAAGCGUAAUAGCUCACUAGUCGAGUCGGCCUGCGCGGAAGAUGUAACGGGGCUCAAACCAGGCACCGAAGCCGCGGAUUCACACUUAUGUGUGAGUGGUAGGGGAGCGUUCUGUAAGUCUGCGAAGGUGUAUCGAGAGGUAUGCUGGAGAUAUCAGAAGUGCGAAUGCUGACGUAAGUAACGAUAAAGGGGGUGAAAAGCCUCCUCGCCGGAAGACCAAGGGUUCCUGUCCAACGUUAAUCGGGGCAGGGUGAGUCGACCCCUAAGGCGAGGCCGAAAGGCGUAGUCGAUGGGAAGCAGGUUAAUAUUCCUGCACGACUUGUAAUUGCGAUGGGGGGACGGAGAAGGCUAGGUGGGCCAGGCGACGGUUGUCCUGGUGAAAGUGCGUAGGUGGUGUUUCUAGGCAAAUCCGGAGACACAACACUGAGACACGAGACGAACACACUACGGUGUGGAAGCCAUUGAUGCCCUGCUUCCAGGAAAAGCCUCUAAGCUUCAGAUUACAAGUCAUCGUACCCCAAACCGACACAGGUGGUCGGGUAGAGAAUACCAAGGCGCUUGAGAGAACUCGGGUGAAGGAACUAGGCAAAAUAGAACCGUAACUUCGGGAGAAGGUUCGCUCUUGACAGUGAAGUCCCUUGCGGAUGGAGCAGUUGGGAGUCGCAGUGACCAGAUGGCUGGGACUGUUUAUCAAAAACACAGCACUCUGCAAACACGAAAGUGGACGUAUAGGGUGUGACACCUGCCCGGUGCCGGAAGGUUAAUUGAUGGGGUUAGCGCAAGCGAAGCUCUUGAUCGAAGCCCCGGUAAACGGCGGCCGUAACUAUAACGGUCCUAAGGUAGCGAAAUUCCUUGUCGGGUAAGUUCCGACCUGCACGAAUGGCAUAAUGAUGGGGGCGCUGUCUCCAGCAGAGACUCAGUGAAAUCGAAUUCGCCGUGAAGAUGCGGUGUACCCGCGGCUAGACGGAAAGACCCCGUGAACCUUUACUACAGCUUGGCACUGAACAUUGAACCUACAUGUGUAGGAUAGGUGGGAGGCUUUGAAGGCGUGACGCCAGUUGCGCUGGAGCCGUCCUUGAAAUACCACCCUUGUAUGUUUGAUGUUCUAACGCAGGGCCCUGAAUCGGGCUCGCGGACAGUGCCUGGUGGGUAGUUUGACUGGGGCGGUCUCCUCCCAAAGAGUAACGGAGGAGCACGAAGGUUGGCUAAUCCUGGUCGGACAUCAGGAGGUUAGUGCAAUGGCAUAAGCCAGCUUGACUGCGAGCGUGACGGCGCGAGCAGGUGCGAAAGCAGGUCAUAGUGAUCCGGUGGUUCUGAAUGGAAGGGCCAUCGCUCAACGGAUAAAAGGUACUCCGGGGAUAACAGGCUGAUACCGCCCAAGAGUUCAUAUCGACGGCGGUGUUUGGCACCUCGAUGUCGGCUCAUCACAUCCUGGGGCUGAAGUCGGUCCCAAGGGUAUGGCUGUUCGCCAUUUAAAGUGGUACGCGAGCUGGGUUCAGAACGUCGUGAGACAGUUCGGUCCCUAUCUGCCGUGGGCGUUGGAUGAUUGAAGGGAGUUGCUCCUAGUACGAGAGGACCGGAGUGAACGAACCUCUGGUGUUCGGGUUGUCACGCCAGUGGCACUGCCCGGUAGCUAAGUUCGGAAUCGAUAACCGCUGAAAGCAUCUAAGCGGGAAGCGAGCCCUGAGAUGAGUCAUCCCUGACCCCUUGA
This 2338-nucleotide ribosomal RNA is filed under the name metagenome. RNAcentral describes it as "bacterial LSU rRNA". It matches the Rfam family "Bacterial large subunit ribosomal RNA", at positions 496 to 2826 of the family's 2925-position model. The record is from RNAcentral.